AUUGAACGCUGGCGGCAGGCCUAACACAUGCAAGUCGAGCGGAUGAAGGGAGCUUGCUCCUGGAUUCAGCGGCGGACGGGUGAGUAAUGCCUAGGAAUCUGCCUGGUAGUGGGGGAUAACGUCCGGAAACGGGCGCUAAUACCGCACACGUCCUGAGGGAGAAAGUGGGGGAUCUUCGGACCUCACGCUAUCAGAUGAGCCUAGGUCGGAUUAGCUAGUUGGUGGGGUAAAGGCCUACCAAGGCGACGAUCCGUAACUGGUCUGAGAGGAUGAUCAGUCACACUGGAACUGAGACACGGUCCAGACUCCUACGGGAGGCAGCAGUGGGGAAUAUUCGACAAUGGGCGAAAGCCUGACCCAGCCAUGCCGCGUGUGUGAAGAAGGUCUUCGGAUUGUAAAGCACUUUAAGUUGGGAGGAAGGGCAGUAAGUUAAUACCUUGCUGUUUUGACGUUACCAACAGAAUAAGCACCGGCUAACUUCGUG
RNAcentral lists this ribosomal RNA (484 nucleotides) under uncultured bacterium. RNAcentral describes it as "partial 16S ribosomal RNA". It matches the Rfam family "Bacterial small subunit ribosomal RNA", at positions 30 to 507 of the family's 1533-position model. The record is from RNAcentral.